UAGGGAAUCUUCGGCAAUGGACGGAAGUCUGACCGAGCAACGCCGCGUGAGUGAAGAAGGUUUUCGGAUCGUAAAGCUCUGUGGUUAGAGAAGAACGUUGGUAGGAGUGGAAAAUCUACCAAGUGACGGUAACUAACCAGAAAGGGACGGCUAACUACGUGCCAGCAGCCACGGUAAUACGUAGGUCCCGAGCGUUGUCCGGAUUUAUUGGGCGUAAAGCGAGCGCAGGCGGUUCUUUAAGUCUGAAGUUAAAGGCAGUGGCUUAACCAUUGUACGCUUUGGAAACUGGAGGACUUGAGUGCAGAAGGGGAGAGUGGAAUUCCAUGUGUAGCGGUGAAAUGCGUAGAUAUAUGGAGGAACCCCGGUGGCGAAAGCGGCUCUCUGGUCUGUAACUGACGCUGAGGCUCGAACGCGUGGGGAGCAAACAGG
Molecule: ribosomal RNA, 429 nt
Filed under: Bacillota bacterium
Lineage: Bacteria; Bacillati; Bacillota
Description: Firmicutes bacterium partial 16S ribosomal RNA
Rfam family: Bacterial small subunit ribosomal RNA
Source: RNAcentral